UAUGCGCAAGUGUUAUAGGCCAUUAUCAUCUCUCCGCAAAACCGACUUAUUAGGAUAUGCCAUGCCAACGUUUAUAUGUUCAAUGAUUUUUUUUUUCUCAUUCAACAUGGAUUAAUGCACCAUGCUUGUUCCCUUGGAGUGCUUGACAUGACACAGGCACAUAUAUUAUUUAUGGCUUACUAAUUUUUUUCUACUGCCUAUACGUUGGGUAUGUGUUUUUUUGAGAACUUGUGAGGUUGUACCCCUUUCAUAGAUUGAAUGUCCUCCUUUUCCUUUCAUAUAUCAAUGUCUUUUCAAGUAAAGGGCUUCCUGUGAAACAUAAAUUUCAUGUGAAAAGAGGAGCAAAGGAUUUUCAAGCUGUUCAAAAGAAAGUGGCAGAGUUGAUCAAGGGAAGGAUUCUCGUGGAUUUUCCUUACCUGCUUUGUUGUUUUAUUGGUUGUGUGAAGUAGAAAACUGUGCAACCCUUUCAAACUAAUAUGUAUUCUCAUUUUUUUCCGG
Durio zibethinus is the source of this 498-nucleotide non-coding RNA. NCBI's taxonomy places the organism in Eukaryota, Viridiplantae, Streptophyta, Magnoliopsida, Malvales, Malvaceae. The record is from RefSeq and is a predicted model, not a curated record.